CUUAAAAACAUAGGACACUACUAUCUGAGAAGCAGAUUUUUUUUGACACUUACGUGAGUUUAUUGGAUUGGGUAAACUAAUUAGCCCUAUGUAUCAGUUUGUGGUGUGCGAUUCUAAUGCGUGCUUUUUCUGUUGUUGUCAUUAUCCUCAGGAGAUCAUUCAACUGUUGGAUUCAUGGCUUGCUAGAAUAGAUGAUUUGUGAAUCCAAUGUGUUCUUUUGCUGUUGUUGCUAGGUUGUUAAUUCAUCAAAGGCGGCUCCUGAGUAUACAUACCGUGUUUAUCUCGCCUGCCUUCUUAGGAAAAAUCCUAUACUCAAGGUAUCAUUCGAAGGGGCGACAUACCCAAUUCUCGGAUUCCUCAAGCAACAGAUGUAGUGUUGUCAGUCUCUGAAGAUUCGAAUCCGUCUGCUCCUAGGCAAAAACAGAGGGAUGAUUGGGAUAUACUAAAAGCCACAGUGUAUUGAGGCUUAGUGGAGUCAGUCACCAGCCUCUUCGUGUUUGAACAACAGCAUCAAGCGGCGCCAAAACAUGUCAGUUACUUUCAUCUUGGGCAUAGCCAACCUUAUUGGUGGACUGACUCUCAUUUUUCAGAAUAUUGCUGAUCUGAGAGAUAUCCGAGACAUGAACGAGGAAAAAAUGAGAAGGUCGUCCACUAUUGGCUCAAGCUCAGGAGGUGGUCGAAAGCCCGGCUCCACAUGGUUCUAGCACUACCGUCACACAUGGUGUUCGAGCCACUUCCACCAGUGCUCUGCGGGUUGUCGUUCCACAAGAGCAAUGACGGGGAGAACAAGAUGAUGAACGUCGCCGGUGCUUUGCUCGCCUGCAUCACGCUGCUUGCGCUCGGGACGUGCAUGUCCACAGAAGAGCCAUGACAUACUUCAAGACUCUAAUUUACUGCCUGACCAUCGCCGUGAGCUUGUCCGGGAUAUCGUACGUUGCCGGUGUCCUGAUCACGAGGCUUCUCAAACACUUUGGCACCAUCGAUCUAGGUGGUGCAUUGGCUCCUCAUACUUCUCUAGGCCUGUUGUUCUCUCAUUUAGGUCGUGCACAUACGUCUGCCUAGGCCUCAAUAAUCUAAUGGCUAAAGUUCCUCGGAGCACUGAUGGUAUAAAAAGAGAAGACAUGUGUGAGUUCAAGAGAAAGUGCAUGAAGAAACAUCUGCUGUUUUAUUGAAAUUCUGGUGUACAUACUAUCAUUUAUGUCAAAAUGUGUGAUCUUGGUCAGUUGAGUUCAUCUGUAUCGUGGAAUAUUACUAUCAGUUAUUUUAGAGCAGG
Long non-coding RNA from Triticum urartu, 1273 nucleotides. RefSeq lists it as uncharacterized. The record is from RefSeq and is a predicted model, not a curated record. NCBI's taxonomy places the organism in Eukaryota, Viridiplantae, Streptophyta, Magnoliopsida, Poales, Poaceae.